This is a regulatory RNA element of Streptomyces abyssalis, 53 nucleotides long. It matches the Rfam family "L17-Actino-Proteobacteria ribosomal protein leader". The record is from Rfam. Lineage: Bacteria; Bacillati; Actinomycetota; Actinomycetes; Kitasatosporales; Streptomycetaceae.
CCGGUACCUGAUACGGCCGGAACUGCCACCGGUACCUGAUACGGCCGGUGCAG